Molecule: ribosomal RNA, 253 nt
Filed under: uncultured bacterium
Lineage: Bacteria
Description: partial 16S ribosomal RNA
Rfam family: Bacterial small subunit ribosomal RNA
Source: RNAcentral
UACGUAGGGUGCAAGCGUUAAUCGGAAUUACUGGGCGUAAAGCGUGCGCAGGCGGUUUCGUAAGUCUGUCGUGAAAUCCCCGGGCUUAACCUGGGAAUGGCGAUGGAGACUGCGAGGCUAGAGUUUGGCAGAGGGGGGUAGAAUUCCACGUGUAGCAGUGAAAUGCGUAGAUAUGCGGAGGAACACCGAUGGCGAAGGCAAUCCCCUGGGCCUGCACUGACGCUCAUGCACGAAAGCGUGGGGAGCAAACAGG